Molecule: non-coding RNA, 207 nt
Organism: Oryza nivara
Lineage: Eukaryota; Viridiplantae; Streptophyta; Magnoliopsida; Poales; Poaceae
Source: Rfam
AAUAAGUGCAGUUUUGCACUAUUCAUGUCUAACCUUUGACCGUUCAUCUUAUUUGAAUUUUUUUAAUAAUUAGUAUUUUUAUUGUUAUUAGAUGAUAAAACAUGAAUAGUACUUUAUAUGGGACUAUUUUUUUCAAUUUUUUCAUAAUUUUUUCAAAUAAGACGGACGGUCAAACGUUGGACACGGAUACCCACGGCUGCACUUGGG